This is an RNA transcript of Momordica charantia (bitter melon), 1681 nucleotides long. It is a transcript of the gene named NAD(P)-binding Rossmann-fold superfamily protein, with no coding region annotated. Lineage: Eukaryota; Viridiplantae; Streptophyta; Magnoliopsida; Cucurbitales; Cucurbitaceae. The record is from RefSeq and is a predicted model, not a curated record.
AAAACACGAAGUAGGAGAAAGGCUGGACCAUCAGGGUUGAGAAUAAGGAGUAAAACAGGGAUGCAGGGAGUGAAGGGAUUAGGAGCGGGUGCGCACUCGCGGACCGUCCUCAUCACCGGCGUCAGCAAAGGACUCGGCCGAGCCCUUGCCGUUGAGCUCUCAAAGCGUGGCCACACCGUGAUUGGCUGCUCUCGGUCUCAGCAUCAACUCGAUUCUCUCCAAUCCGAACUCAUCUCCCCUUCCCCCGACUCCCAUUUCCUCCUCCCCGCCGAUGUGAGGUCCAAUGCCAGCGUUGAACACUUGGCGCGCCUUGUCGUUGAAAGGAAGGGCGUUCCUGAUAUCAUUGUAAAUAAUGCAGGUACAAUUAACAAGAACUCCAAGAUCUGGGAGGUUCCUCCUGAUGAGUUUGAUACUGUCCUUGAGACAAAUGUCAAAGGGACCGUAAACGUAUUGCGUCACUUCAUCCCACUUAUGAUUUCAAGCAAGAAAGGAGUUAUUGUUAAUAUGUCAUCUGGGUGGGGAAGAUCUGGUGCUGCCCUGGUUGCGCCCUACUGUGCUUCAAAAUGGGCCAUUGAGGGUCUGACCAGAUCAGUGGCUAAAGAGUUGCCAGAGGGAAUGGCAAUUGUUGCGCUAAAUCCCGGAGUUAUAAACACAGACAUGCUUGCCUCAUGCUUUGGUGAUUCAGCUUCUUUGUACCAGGCUCCUGAUGCAUGUCUGAUUGCUUGUGAACGGUAGAAAGUAAGGGGAAUGUUAAGCUGAGGUCCAAAGUAUUAACCCUAUCACGUAAGACCUGUCAGGCAAAAAAUGUAAUCUUCUUUGGAAUUUUAACCUUCCAAAGUGAAUAAAAAACAGAGCAGUGAAAGCCCAGAGGAUGGGGUCCGCUAGACACGAAAAAAAGGAUUUACGGUAAAAUCCUCUAAACGGUUAGGAGACCAGUUGAACAUCGCUCCUCCCCAGAUUAACAACAAAGUCCCCCCAAUCAGGCUAACAAGGCCACGAAAUCCUCCAUCUCCUUAUCGGGCAAAGGAAGAUGAAACCAAGAAAAAGGGAGGACUCAUUGCCUCUAGGCAAAACUGAAGCCACCGAACGACCCUUCAUAGAAGACAGCAGGUAAAGGCAAGGGAAUAAAGAACAGAAAGGUCGAUUCCCAAACCACCUAUCCUCCCAAGAAUAGGGCUUUGAAGGCAGCUACAAUGAUUCUCAAUCUUACCACAGCAGAUAACGGCGCGUCCCUCACCGUCUAAUUCUCAGGUGCACUGUUAUAGGAUAAACGUUGAUUUUGUUGUCUAUCGUCUACCCAUAACUACCUCUCGGCUUAUUGAUAGGAGUUGGAUUCAAAUCAGACUUCAGAGGGAAGGGGUGCAAGACAAACUCCAAUUUUGGACCGUAACGUAAUCGGAGUGGUUGAAAAUGAUGCCUUCAGCAUUUUUGAAUCACUUCAUUAGUGUGUCUCCAUGACUUGUAUGUAGGGUGGUUUGAUUGAAAGACUAAAGGUAGGUUCUUAUCUCUAGCUCUAUUACUAUUCUAACCAGUUGAUAAAGUUUCAUGUUUGGUCUUAGAAUGUAAUGUUGUAUGAUUUCAUGCUUAAGAAUAUUUCAUCAUAUUAUACUGUUUGAUUUACAGGGUAUAAUGAGAUGCCCUUAAAUUGGUCGUACAAUAAUGUUUCCAUAUUUUUUUCUUA